AAUAAUAGAAAAAGAGAAAUUGGGGAUUAGGGUUAACCGUUUGCGCCGAUUCAACUUAUUCUUCUCCCCUCUCUCACUCAAACGCAGCGGCGGCGGAAACUCCACUUCUCCGAUGAAAGCGUGGUGGCACCAAUAUCAAAUGGCCGCGUGAUGAACAACGGUCACCUCUCCUUGACUCAACUCUCUCAGCUCUCGUCUCUAUGUUCUCUCCCGAUCUCCUCUAGUUGCGUCGAAGGUAUAUGGUGAGGUUGUUAUUGCCGAUGAAGAUUAGGGAAUUUAAAGAUUUCGGCGACAAUGAAGUUUGUUGAGGAUUGCAGAGGAUUGAAGAUGAGCCGAAGAAUUGUAUCAUAGUGAACAGAUGAAGAUGAAGCGUAAAUUUCUGGAAAUGUUGGAAGAGAAGGUUGAAGAUUGGAGACGAGGUUGCGGUGAAGUUGUUGUUCUUGAGGAUUAUGAAGAAAAGCAAGGUUAGGGAGUUCUCUUUGUAUGGUGAAAAGUAAGAUGAAGCGUUGGUUGAAGAUGGAUCGGAGGAGAGGCCGAAGGUCCUGUUAUGGUGAGUUGAAGGUGAUGAAGAUGAUGACUUCAGAGAGGAAUGAAGAUUGCUCGAUUCUUAAAGUUAGAGCUCAGUUCAGAGGUGGAGGAGAUGCUGCAAUGGAGGUUAUGGAGAUUGGAAGAGAGGUGGUGAAGAUGAGAAGGGAUCGAAAAUGGUUAAAGUGAAGGUGUGAAGUGAAGGUUGCAAUGAUGAAAUGGUGGAGAAAGAGAUGAGAAUGAUCGAGAGGGGAUGUGAAGAAUGACUGAGAGUCUGAAGAUUGAAGAAGACCUCUGUUAUGUAGAGAGGGAGAAUCUUGAUUCUGAAGGGCUGCAGCCAUAUAAUAUGUCAACUGGUGCAAUGGUAUAAUAAAUGUGAGCAAAGCUUGGAGAAUGAUACGGAAAUAUGAAGAUCCAGGAGUAAAUAUAGGAUGCUUAUAUUCUGUACAGGGUUUUUUAUGUCAAAGAUUUGUAAUGAGAUAUGAAUGGGUUUUGGUGAAAUAUUUGGAUGAUGAAACUUGGAUAAUGUAUGAUCUUGAAUAUAUGAAUGUCACCUUUGGAUAAA
Vicia villosa (hairy vetch) is the source of this 1090-nucleotide long non-coding RNA. RefSeq lists it as uncharacterized. The transcript is spliced from 2 exons. The record is from RefSeq and is a predicted model, not a curated record. NCBI's taxonomy places the organism in Eukaryota, Viridiplantae, Streptophyta, Magnoliopsida, Fabales, Fabaceae.